MicroRNA precursor from Neolamprologus brichardi, 53 nucleotides. Lineage: Eukaryota; Metazoa; Chordata; Actinopteri; Cichliformes; Cichlidae. The record is from Ensembl.
AAACUUUGGUGAAUGUUUGUGGUGAAUAUCCAUCAAUAUUCUCCAAAGUCUGU